Non-coding RNA from Tetranychus urticae (two-spotted spider mite), 451 nucleotides. The record is from RefSeq and is a predicted model, not a curated record. Lineage: Eukaryota; Metazoa; Arthropoda; Arachnida; Trombidiformes; Tetranychidae.
AUCUGAUUUUUUCGUUUCUCAAUAGUAUCUCGGUACUUGGUAUCAAAUAAAGUCAACCAAACCUUAUUUUGAAGAUGGUCAACGUUGUAUCAAAGCUGACUACAAGUUUGAAGCAACUACUGGUAUUUUUGUUACCAACAGCACUGACCUUGAUUCAGUUAACAAUGCAGUUGAAAGAGUUCAAUUCACCAAGUCAUAUGAUCAAGACAAUGUUUUCACAGCCAAAUACUUCUUAGAAUUCAGGUUCUGGUUAUUACCUCACUACACAAUAUUGGGUUGUUGACACUGAAUACAAUAAUUAUGCUCUGGUUCUUUCAUGUAACAAUCUUCUUGGUCUCGAUCACUCCCGUGAUGUUUGGAUACUUUCAAGGAAACAAACAUUGGAGGACAAUAUUGUUGCAAAUCUAAUUGCUGAAUUAGACACAGUUGGACUUCAUGGCAUUGCUUUUGG